GGGCAUUAACGUUCCCAAAAAUUUUGUGGUAUAAGCGCGCGCAGGCUGUCUCUAAAUUCUGAUGUGAAACCCUAUGGCACAACCGGGGAGGGUUUUGAAAACGGGGGAACUUGAGCCCAUAAAAGGAGAGUGGAAUUCCACGUGUAGCGGUGAAAUGCGUAGAGAUGUAGAGGAACACCAGUGGGGAAGGCCACUCUCUGGUCUGUAACUGACGCUGAGGCGCGAAAGCGUGGGGAGCAAACAAGAUUAGAUACCCUGGUAGUCCACCCCGUAAACGAUGAGUGCUAAGUGUUAGAGGGUUUCCGCCCUUUAAUGCUGAAGCAAACAUAAUAAGCCCUCCGGCUGGGGAGCACGGUCGCAAGACUGAAUCUCAAAGGAAUUGACCGGGGCCCGCAAAAGCGGUGGAUUUUGUUGUUUAAUUAGAAACAACGCCAAAAAUCUUACCAGGUUUUGACCUCCUCUGACAACACUAAAGAAGGGCUUCCCCUUCAGGGGCAGAGUGACAGGUGGUGCAUGGUUGUCGUCAGCUCGUGUCGGGAGAUGUUGGGUUAAAGUCCCGCAACCAGCGCCACCCUUGAUCGUUAGUUGCCAGCAUUCAGUUGGGCACUCUCUGUUUGCUGCCGGUGACCAACCGGGAGGAAGGUGGGGAUGACUUCUAAUCAUUUAUGCCCCCUUAUUACCUGGGGUUUACUAGUGCCUAUAAUGGGGCAGAACAAAAGU
Molecule: ribosomal RNA, 720 nt
Filed under: Bacillus licheniformis
Lineage: Bacteria; Bacillati; Bacillota; Bacilli; Caryophanales; Bacillaceae
Description: bacterial SSU rRNA
Rfam family: Bacterial small subunit ribosomal RNA
Source: RNAcentral